UAAUACAGAGGGUGCAAGCGUUAAUCGGAUUUACUGGGCGUAAAGGGUGCGUAGGUGGUUAUGUAAGUGAGAUGUGAAAUCCCCGGGCUUAACCUGGGAACUGCAUCUUAGACUGCAUGACUGGAGUGCGAUAGAGGGUAGUGGAAUUUCCGGUGUAGCGGUGAAAUGCGUAGAUAUCGGAAGGAACACCAGUGGCGAAGGCGGCUACCUGGAUCGACACUGACACUGAGGCACGAGAGCGUGGGGAGCAAACAGGAUUAGAUACCCUGGUAGUCCACGCUGUAAACGAUGAAGACUAGAUGUUGUUGGGCCUAGACCCAUCAGUAUCGAAGCUAACGCGAUAAGUCUUCCGCCUGGGGAGUACGGUCGCAAGAUUA
This 377-nucleotide ribosomal RNA is filed under the name uncultured bacterium. RNAcentral's name for it is "bacterial SSU rRNA". It matches the Rfam family "Bacterial small subunit ribosomal RNA", at positions 521 to 896 of the family's 1533-position model. The record is from RNAcentral.